Molecule: ribosomal RNA, 492 nt
Filed under: uncultured bacterium
Lineage: Bacteria
Description: partial 16S ribosomal RNA
Rfam family: Bacterial small subunit ribosomal RNA
Source: RNAcentral
AGUGAACGCUGGCGGUAGGCCUAACACAUGCAAGUCGAACGGCAGCACAGUAAUAGCUUGCUCUUACGGGUGGCGAGUGGCGGACGGGUGAGGAAUACAUCGGAAUCUACUUUUUCGUGGGGGAUAACGUAGGGAAACUUACGCUAAUACCGCAUACGACCUACGGGUGAAAGCAGGGGAUCUUCGGACCUUGCGCGAUUGAAUGAGCCGAUGUCGGAUUAGCUAGUUGGCGGGGUAAAGGCCCACCAAGGCGACGAUCCGUAGCUGGUCUGAGAGGAUGAUCAGUCACACUGGAACUGAGACACGGUCCAGACUCCUACGGGAGGCAGCAGUGGGGAAUAUUGGACAAUGGGCGCAAGCCUGAUCCAGCCAUACCGCGUGGGUGAAGAAGGCCUUCGGGUUGUAAAGCCCUUUUGUUGGGAAAGAAAAGCAGCAGGUUAAUACCCCGCUGUUCUGACGGUACCAAAAGAAUAAGCACCGGCUAACUUCGUG